Dactylonectria estremocensis is the source of this 129-nucleotide non-coding RNA. NCBI's taxonomy places the organism in Eukaryota, Fungi, Ascomycota, Sordariomycetes, Hypocreales, Nectriaceae. The record is from the annotation of a GenBank genome assembly.
AGCAAUUUGGCGCAGUGGAAGCGCGGUAUGUUCAUACUCUCAAGUAUUACAACUCACCAGUUCGACAACUAACUCCUCCCAGCCGGGCUCAUAACCCGGAGGUCGCACGAUCGAAACGUGCAAUUGCUA